AACGCACAUUGCGCCCGCUAGUAUCCUAGCGGGCAUGCCUGUCCGAGCGUCAUUUCUGCCCUCAAGACCGUUGUGUCUUGGUGUUGGGGCGCUACGGCCCGGUGCCGUAUGCCCUGAAACCCAGCGGCGGGCCCUCCGACGACCCCGAGCGCAGUCACUUCUUCGUUCAGGGCUCGUGGCGGGCUUCCCAGCCGUCAAAACAGACGCCUCCGGGCGCUAACCAUCACUAGUUGACCUCGGAUCAGGUAGGAAUACCCGCUGAACUUAA
Molecule: unclassified non-coding RNA, 268 nt
Filed under: uncultured fungus
Lineage: Eukaryota; Fungi
Description: partial contains 5.8S ribosomal RNA, internal transcribed spacer 2, and large subunit ribosomal RNA
Rfam family: 5.8S ribosomal RNA (bases 1-52)
Source: RNAcentral